Aspergillus fumigatus Af293 is the source of this 72-nucleotide transfer RNA. It matches the Rfam family "tRNA". From Rfam's summary of the family: Transfer RNA (tRNA) molecules are approximately 80 nucleotides in length. Their secondary structure includes four short double-helical elements and three loops (D, anti-codon, and T loops). The record is from Rfam. Lineage: Eukaryota; Fungi; Ascomycota; Eurotiomycetes; Eurotiales; Aspergillaceae.
GGCCGGCUGGCCUAAUGGUAAGGCGUUGCUCUCCUAAAGCAAAGAUUGCAGGUUCGAUCCCUGCGUCGGUCG